This 279-nucleotide ribosomal RNA is filed under the name uncultured bacterium. RNAcentral describes it as "partial 16S ribosomal RNA". It matches the Rfam family "Bacterial small subunit ribosomal RNA", at positions 506 to 784 of the family's 1533-position model. The record is from RNAcentral.
UGCCAGCAGCCGCGGUAAUACAGAGGGUGCAAACGUUGCUCGGAUUUACUGGGCGUAAAGCGCGUGUAGGCGGACUCGCAAGUCGGUUGUGAAAUCCCUGGGCUCAACCUAGGAACUGCAUCCGAAACUGCUUGUCUUGAGUAAUGGAGAGGGUGGCGGAAUUCCCGGUGUAGAGGUGAAAUGCGUAGAUAUCGGAAGGAACACCAGUGGCGAAGGCGACUUCCUGGGCCAAUACUGACGCUGAGGUGCGAAAGCGUGGGGAGCAAACAGGAUUAGAUA